AUUGAACGCUGGCGGCAUGCCUUACACAUGCAAGUCGAACGGUAACGCGGGGCAACCUGGCGACGAGUGGCGAACGGGUGAGUAAUGCAUCGGAACGUGCCCAAUAGGGGGGGAUAGCCCGGCGAAAGCCGGAUUAAUACCGCAUACGACCGACGGGUGAAAGCAGGGGAUCGCAAGACCUUGCGCUAAUGGAACGGCGCAUGUCAGAUUAGGUUGUUGGUGGGGUAAAAGCCCACCAAGCCGACGAUCUGUAGCUGUUCUGAGAGGACGACCAGCCACACUGGGACUGAGACACGGCCCAGAGUCCUACGGGAGGCAGCAGUGGGGAAUUUUGGACAAUGGGCACAAGCCUGAUCCAGCCAUGCCGCGUGCGGGAUGAAGGCCUUCGGGUUGUAAACCGCUUUUGUUAGGGAAGAAAUCUUUUGAGCUAAUACCUCGGAAGGAUGACGGUACCUAAAGAAUAAGCACCGGCUAACUACGUGCCAGCCGCCGCCGUAA
RNAcentral lists this ribosomal RNA (498 nucleotides) under uncultured bacterium. RNAcentral describes it as "partial 16S ribosomal RNA". It matches the Rfam family "Bacterial small subunit ribosomal RNA", at positions 30 to 523 of the family's 1533-position model. The record is from RNAcentral.